AUUGAACGCUGGCGGCAGGCCUAACACAUGCAAGUCGAGCGAGUGGCGGACGGGUGAGUAAUGUCUGGGGAACUGCCCGAUGGAGGGGGAUAACUACUGGAAACGGUAGCUAAUACCGCAUACCAUCAGAUGUACCCAGAUGGGAUUAGCUAGUUGGUGGGGUAAAGGCUCACCAAGGCGACGAUCCCUAGCUGGUCUGAGAGGAUGACCAGCCACACUGGAACUGAGACACGGCCCAGACUCCUACGGGAGGCAGCAGUGGGGAAUAUUGCACAAUGGGCGCAAGCCUGAUGCAGCCAUGCCGCGUGUAUGAAGAAGGCCUUCGGGUUGUAAAGUACUUUCAGCGGGGAGGCGUUACCCGCAGAAGAAGCACCGGCUAACUCCGUGCCAGCAGCCGCGGUAAUUC
RNAcentral lists this ribosomal RNA (406 nucleotides) under uncultured bacterium. RNAcentral's name for it is "partial 16S ribosomal RNA". It matches the Rfam family "Bacterial small subunit ribosomal RNA", at positions 30 to 526 of the family's 1533-position model. The record is from RNAcentral.